This is a long non-coding RNA of Diachasmimorpha longicaudata, 6774 nucleotides long. RefSeq lists it as uncharacterized. The record is from RefSeq and is a predicted model, not a curated record. The transcript is spliced from 2 exons. Lineage: Eukaryota; Metazoa; Arthropoda; Insecta; Hymenoptera; Braconidae.
AUUUGUUUAUCCGUUAAAAUGCGUAUUCCGUAUUGUAAAUUGUAAUAGAAAAGCAGAGAAGACCGGCGCAAAAUAAGACUCAUGUAAAAUAGGCAGAAAUCUUGAGUAAAACAUUUUUUUUUGCAUAACAAUACGAAUACCGAUCAUAAUAAUAACAAUAAUAAUAAUAAUAAUAAAUCAAAGUCAAAUAGACUCAGAUAGUUGUACAAGGGAAUGGCCGAUAUCAGUGAGAUUAUCGGGACGAUGGCACAUCAAUAAUCAAUAAGUUAUUACAAACAGGCAAACGGAUUCAGGAAAGUAACAUGAUUUCAUUGCCAGCCGAUCCCACGGUCGUCUCGGCCAAUAACUCAGUUGUUGAUCAUGCAGAAAUUGGCUCGGCAUGCUAUGGAUCGAAUUUACGAAAAUUAUUACGUAUGGAAAUUAUGAACAAGGAUGGGCGGCGUUUUUCAUGAAGAAAUUUACGUAGACCUUACGAUUGUGAGGCUAAUUUUCAGUUCUGAUGUUCACAUUUAUCUAUUACAUUUUCGAAAUAUAAUUUUGAUGGAUUUAUUUAUUAUUAUUAACGGAAUUCAUUGCAAGUUCUUGCAAGAACUUGCAGCUGGCCAUCGCCCGAGGACAUUCAGCCAAGUAUUUACAAAUAUUUACAUUUUAUUGUAUAGCAAUUGUUGUAACAAAAAGCAAAACAAAAGGUGAUUGGGUCUUCCGCAGCGAUGAGAGAAAUGAUGUUGACAAUUUUGAGAACAAUGCGUUUUUUUUUUGUUUUUUUUUCUAAGUCCAUUAUUUUUAUUUACUUUAUUUGAAUUUUAUUUUCAUGUUUGAGUGGCGUCCAGAGAAGAGUCAAUGGGAAAUAUUUUUCUACAAAGAAAUGUGGCAGGAGAUUUUGGAGACGAAGAGUAUCAAUUAUCUCACAACCGGUUUUCCCUUUGCAGUUCAUCGAACAUGCCAAAUUCCCUAUGCCAUGUGCAGCUAGGAUUGAUGUCGAGGCUUCUCGUCGUCGACUUGAUAAAAUGAGGAUAAAUCUAUCGAAAAAUAAAUUAAGAAAUUUUCGAAAGUGAUUCACGUGAGAUAAGACGUCCAUCACGUUAUGAGCAGACAAUAACUGAAAGUCAGUGUCGCAGGAAAUCAAGACGGUUAUAAUCUAAUCGGGAUACACGUGAGGCAUUGCAAUCUAGUAUACUCGUCAUUAUUCUAUAUUGCGAAAUAGCAGAAGCAACAAUUUAUAAAACAUGUGAUUUCGUUACGAGUUGGGAAGGACAAGUCGUUCAGUAAUGUUCCCCAACCGUGAAGAAAUAUUACAGAAUAGAAGAAUUUGGUAUGUGUCAUGUAGGAAUUGUGAUGAUGGUAGUGUAAAAAUUUUUCUAUCGAAUGGGUUUUUACAUAAAAAUAUUUCGUAAAAAUGAUUAAAAAAAUUGCAUAUUCCGCACUGAGAGAAUUUUUUUUCACAACAACUGUUAUACGACUUUAAAAAAAUACCAAUGCAUUUGCAAUUCCAUGAUAAUUGCCUGCAUGUAUAUAUUGGUUUUUAUCAGUGCACUAGUUUGUGUCUCUUGCCACGUAUCUCAAUAUAUGUAUAUUUCACCGUCAACAGUUGCACAUGACAUGCAGACUUGUAUUAGGUGCAAGGUGUUGAUUUCACGUGCGGUCAUCCGCGCUGACCGAUAUCCAUACUUCAUCGAAAAUUCAUUACUUCCGGGAAUAAUUUUGCUAUGAACCGUAUAAUCACGGGGUAAAAACAAAAGUUCGAAAAAUAAGAAAAUCAAGUGAAUUAGUGCAAAAUAUUUUUUACCUUCACUUUACUGGAAACUUGAUUAAUCCGAGACUUUAUGCUCUACCGAUCACUUAAAAUGUGCUAAUCACACGACACUGGAUGAGUCGAGGAAAAACUGCAAAAAAAUACCACUGAAUAAAAGAAAUAUUGCUACUGUUGUUAUUAUUUGAGUAAAUAACUUGGUUACGGUGUCGCAGACACUUGCCUGACGAAAGAUAUAGCUGGUGUGACGAGUGAAUGAUCGAGGGGCAUAACUCGAUCGGUUUGACGCGACUGGAGUCUCCUUCCACCAAACUGGCCGUUGUGAAUGCCACUUCAUUCUGAUUUUUCCUUAAUCUCAGUUGAUUGUCUCGUGAAUAUCGGUAGUGAUAUCACAAAUAUCACUUCCGUCAUUGAUUGAUAUGGGAAGCCAUUAUUAAAUCAGUGGACUGUAGACAAAAAAAAGGGAAAAUAUACGGGAUCUUGUCACGACACGGUCAAUGGAUCAAGUUCAGAUGGAAAGAGAGGGGAUAUCCGUUCGGUUAUUAAGCGCGAAGGAAAGUUUCAAACGAACUAAAAAGUUAUUCUGCUCGCAUUAUGACAAAUAGGCGAUUUAGAAUUGACUGUAAUGGAAUUUAAAUAUUCAUUCUUUUAAAUUAUUGGGCCUAAUUCAGUGAUCUGCAAAUUAGUUAUCGUAAAAUUUUUUCUUCUAAUAUCUUGAGAUUCUUUUUAGAUUUUAAUCGUUUUUCUAAUCCCAAAUAGCCGAGUCUCUUAUCGUAUUCUGCUCUAUCUUGGUAUUUAUUAAUUGUCAAUAAUGGUAGAUUCAGAACUAUGGCUUCGUAUUUCAGCUGUUAAUUGCUCAAUAAAAUUAUUGGUCGCGAAGUCAUUAAAAAAAUAUUAGAUAUCAAUUUUGCCGGUGCUUAUCUUCAUCUAUUACUUUACCAAAGCUCUUAGUCAUGAUGACGCAAAAUUGAUUUUGUGGAAUAAGAGAUGUGUCUCAGCAGGAAACACAUCAAUGAAAUGCAUUUCAUAGUUGUCUUGAUUAUGUGAUAGCGAAUUUUAUUCAUCUCCAUUAAGUAUAUCAUUCAGAACACCACUAGCGAAUUUAUUUAUUGUUCAAUGGAUGAAUGUCUGUCAACUGUGUUAGCGAUAGCAUUGUUAAUAAUGAAAACAAAAAAACUUUAUACGAAGCUUGGCAAUCAUUUGACCGUGCUCGAGGAGCUGUAUAAGGUGUGGACAAGGGGGUGAUGUGAGGGUAUACAUAGUUGCAUGGAGAAAAUGAUAUUUGUGCAUCCGGUGGGGCGAAUGGUGCGACGCUCCGGUGCUCACUCUACUCUGAUGUUACUUCAGAGGUCGAUCGAUUCCGAAACGCAGCGAGCGUUCAUCCACGAUGCAAUCGGCCGGCUUUGAGAUAACCACCUAACGUGACUAUCGAUACGUGCUUGGUAUCAAGAACACUGUAUUCGUGAAUUUAAUCUCAGGGUUAUUAACCAUUUUCAUUUUAUUUCAUUGAUGUUAGCGAAUAGAGAAAUUGUGGCUCUAAAUAAUGGCACGAUUUGCCUAAUCCAUGAUAGGGAAUUGGUUUCCCAAGAUUUUUAUGAAAAUGGAUGAACAAAGCACAAAAAUGUCAAAGUAUUUUUUCUGGAAAAGUUGAAUUUUACAGGCAAUUACCAAUUUUUUAUACAUUCAAAAUAGAAAACUAUUGAAUGGUUAAGAAAUUUCAUUGAAAAUUAUGAAAAUCAAUUAUUUUUGCAUGAAUUAUUUCUAUUUUCUAUUGCGACAAUUUUUUUCGAUAUUUCAGAGAGAAACAUUUGAUAAAAAAAGUCUUUCUGUAGUUCCGGAGUAAUUACAGUUUGAAAUGUAAAUUUUGUUUCCAAAUUAUGAUUCUUUACUGUACUGGUGCUAGAAUGUUCCUCCGAAGCUUAUCUCAGUUUAUAUUUUCUUAUAUUCCGGCUCCAUAAUUCCAUGAAAGAUUUUUCACUCCCCGGAAAAUCCGGUUCAAUGUGCCAACAUAUUAUAUUAUCGCGUGACUAGUUGAAUCGAUAUCAAAAUAGUGACUCAAUGGAAAAUAUAAUAGUCAUUUAGUGGGUGAGGGCGUGAGGAUGUUUAUUUGCUCUCUGUCCCACUGCUUUGCUUUAUCAACUUUUUCACUAAAAACUUUUUCAAGCGUGGAUUUUCAUGCUUGAAAAACACUCUAUUUCAUCAUUAUGUUAAUUUUGGAAAUGACGUCUGUUAACUGAACAAAUUCAGUUGUGAAAAUUCGCAGUUAAGUGAUAAUUGUGAUAUUAUUACACAAAAUAUUUAUGGUUUUGAUUAAAAUACUCUAUCACAAUGCGUGCCAGAGAGUCCCUAGGUAUACGUCACUCCAGUAAAUAAAGAAUAUUAGCGCCAAAAAAUACCUGAAUGGUGAAGAGAAAAAUAAUUACUCGUUGCAUGUGAUGAAAGGGAUCAGGUCAGGAAAAUCCAACGCAUUUGAUCACAAUGAAUGUUUGUGUAUAAUAUAUAUAUAUAUACAUAUAUAUAUCAUAUGUAUAUAUAUUCAUAUAUAUAUAUGUAUUCAUAUAUAUACAUAUUUUGUUACAAGGCACAGGUAGCUUACACACGUAUUUUCUUUCAUAUUUGUUCUUCCCAUCACUUUGUUAUUCCUACCCACAUUUAUCGUUUCGUUCACCAUCAUUCUCGCUAGCAACCGCACUUUUACUUUUGAUCAUUCAUCCAAGAGAUUACAAGAUUAUCUUCCUCACUUCACUCCUUUUAAUCUGCCUUACAAUUAUUUCCAGUUUUCGAGUCACUUUACCAACUAUUUUCCUCAUUUACUUUCCUUUAUUGUUUGGAUCAAAAACAUUUUCUUUACUUCUAACAAUCGUCAGUGAUUAUUUUAUUCAACAAGGAAAAAGCCAUAGAAUGAGCAAUCCACUAACUCACCGAUUAAUUCAUUUUCUGCAAUUAUUUGCUUUCUUCAUUUUUCAAAGUGAAAAUAUUUCGGGCAAGUUUUUUACUGUCUCGAUUCUUAACAAAUUAUGACAAUCCUUCUCAUUCGACCCUCUCGGGAGAUAUCUUCAAAGUUCUUCAGUGGAAGUGAAUUGAAAUUUGAAACAUUUCAGUUAGUGAUAAGCAUCUUUAAUUCUCAAAUAAUAUUAUCAUCCUGGCUAUUCAGCGCGAUGAUAUGAAUUUCUUUGUGACGUGUGGCAUUUACUUCAACAGGUGAACUUUCGAGUGUACUUUCAUUUGCUAAAUUGAGUGGAUUAUCUGAGUUUCAUAUUUAAUUUCGGCGAAACUUUUUUUAUUCUCAAAUUUAAUAAUAUAAUAAUGGAUUUUUGUAAGUUACUGGGGAGGAUUUGGAGGGAUAUUUCUCCUUGUAUCUAUCUUUGGGUUGAUAAGUAUUUAUAACUUAAUUUUUUCAUUUGGAUAUCAAUGUUUGGGCUUCUUGUACUCGCUUCUUUAAGGAAUUCGGAAUGUUAAAAAUAAAAGAUGAGAUUACUUAAGACUCUUAUAUGAAGGUCACCCAUCGAAAUAAUUGCACAGAGAAAAAAGUAGAUUAGCUUCAGAACAACAUGUUCCUAAAUAUAAGAAAUUUUGAAUCUUCAGAAACUGAAUCAAUAAUAUGCUCUUUUAUAAAAUUAAUUCACAUAUUUUCUCUCUCCCCCGAAUACUCCGAAAAAUCGUUAAAUCACUAAAAUUCACCGUUGGCUAUUAAUUGGGAAGAUUAACUGUAUUCAGUGAUUGUAUCAAUCUCAUUAAAACGAAUGCAUUAAGCUCACCCAAAUCCCACGGGAGGGUACAGCAAGCGGGAGCGGCUUGUAACGACGUUUGUUGAUGUUUUGGAUACCUAAUUAUCCUUGAUUUGAAUUGGAAAUUCGGAUUUUAGUAUUUCUCGCUGUCAUUUUGUCACAGGGCAAUGAAUCGAGGAUAAUUGAAUUUUUUACUACUAUGAUGCCUCGAUAUGGAGGAGAAGGAUCUGACCUAUUUACAAUUUUUUUAUAAUCCUUGUGACCACAAGUAAUAAUUAUCUGAUUGCUGUCACAAUGAGCUUAUUACGUUUCUGUCGGUUUAGAAAAUUCUUAAUUUUAAAAUCUAUGUUUUCCCUUGUUCUAUACAUAGGUACCUAAUUACAUGACUAAUUACGCAAUUUAUUACAUGUUUAUUCUAUAUUCUGUGUUAAAUCAAGAUUUACGGGGUUGGUUAGAUAAUUGUGCGUUGAAAAAUUCGCUUUUAGGAGUCAGUAAUUAGAAUUGCUAUGAUUAUUUCGACAGAGAUUAGUUGAUCAGUUUCACCACUUUUCUACUGAAAUUAUCACAUUCGGGGAGGCUUAUUAAAUUCGGGGUUCGUGGAAGGAGCAUGUUGGAUUGGUAAAUCGUUAGGAAGUUUUCCCAUUGUAAACACUGAAAGGGUGAAUUCAGAUAUGACAUUGAUUCCGUCGAGUGCAUAUUUUUUUUUGCAUAAAUAUUUUUCGGAGUAAUAUGACGCAUCGGCGCACAAAAAAUGUAUUCGAUAAUUCAGUAUUUGCAAAGGGAAAUUUCUACCAACUAUUUUCACGUCAUGUGGGAGGAUAAUUCAGUGAGUCAUGCAGAUAAAAUGGUAAAAAAUCUUUUCACUCUGUUUGGCAUUAAAAAACUUGAUUUUCUCGACUUUUUUUUACACAACCCUCAGCAGUAUUCACAUCCGUUAAGAUUGAUUUUCUACCAGCUAUUUAUUAUAAAGAUACAAGAUAAUCAUACAAUAUAGACUCUGUAUAAGUUACAAUAAUAUCCUCGGCAAUUCACCUCAAUGCGGCUCCUUUACUUAUUCUUCGCUUUCAUUAUUGCUCUCAGCAAAUUAAUCAAAUCGAUAUUUAAUUAUUUUGUUAGCUUACCGUCAUCACAACUUUCUGAUGAAGGAUUGUUCCUUUCUUUUACAUGUAAAAAACUGUCAUUAUUUGCUCGUCUAUUUUUUUAAAAUCGUUGCAUCAGUAUACAAGAAUGGUUUCACUUUAUGAAAAUCCAUAAAUGUUAAAAAUUGAAAAUAAUAAGAAUAAAAAAUACUAUUUU